Molecule: microRNA, 24 nt
Filed under: Canis lupus familiaris (dog)
Lineage: Eukaryota; Metazoa; Chordata; Mammalia; Carnivora; Canidae
Source: RNAcentral
AUUAGCGCCUGACUGAGUGGGGUC